This 77-nucleotide transfer RNA is filed under the name Clostridia bacterium. RNAcentral describes it as "tRNA-Met". It matches the Rfam family "tRNA". Rfam says of the family: Transfer RNA (tRNA) molecules are approximately 80 nucleotides in length. Their secondary structure includes four short double-helical elements and three loops (D, anti-codon, and T loops). RNAcentral also lists the same sequence under 1 other name. Lineage: Bacteria; Bacillati; Bacillota; Clostridia. The record is from RNAcentral.
CGCGGGAUGGAGCAGUUCGGUAGCUCGUCGGGCUCAUAACCCGAAGGUCGGAGGUUCAAGUCCUCCUCCCGCAACCA